UAAUGGUGGCAGUGCACGACAACUAGAAAAAUGUUUUGCUGGACACAAGAAUGUUGUGCGAAACCAAGAAGCUUUUGAUCAUAGUUACACUGCUCAGCAAGGGGAAACAAAUUCUGCUGCACAUAAGAAUGUUGUUCAGAUUAAAGAAACUUUGCUUCAGAAUGUUCGUACACAGCAGGGAGAAAAAACGUUUGCUGCAAACAAAGUGGUAUCUUUUCAUAAUCGCAUACACAUUUAUGUUCAAACUAUA
This is a long non-coding RNA of Hordeum vulgare subsp. vulgare (domesticated barley), 250 nucleotides long. RefSeq lists it as uncharacterized. The record is from RefSeq and is a predicted model, not a curated record. The transcript is spliced from 3 exons. Lineage: Eukaryota; Viridiplantae; Streptophyta; Magnoliopsida; Poales; Poaceae.